RNAcentral lists this ribosomal RNA (460 nucleotides) under uncultured bacterium. RNAcentral describes it as "partial 16S ribosomal RNA". It matches the Rfam family "Bacterial small subunit ribosomal RNA", at positions 338 to 795 of the family's 1533-position model. The record is from RNAcentral.
CCUACGGGUGGCUGCAGUGAGGAAUAUUGGUCAAUGGGCUUACGCCUGAACCAGCCAAGUCGCGUGAGGGAAGACUGCCCUAUGGGUUGUAAACCUCUUUUGUCAGGGAGCAACGCCGGCUACGUGUAGCCGGACUGAGAGUACCUGAAGAAAAAGCAUCGGCUAACUCCGUGCCAGCAGCCGCGGUAAUACGGAGGAUGCGAGCGUUAUCCGGAUUUAUUGGGUUUAAAGGGUGCGUAGGCGGAAUGCCAAGUCAGCGGUAAAAUCGCGGGGCUCAACCUCGCUCCGCCGUUGAUACUGGCAGCCUUGAGUACAGUUGAGGUAGGCGGAAUUCGUGGUGUAGCGGUGAAAUGCUUAGAUAUCACGAAGAACUCCGAUUGCGAAGACAGCCUACUAAACUGCCACUGACAUUGAUGCUCGAAAGUGUGGGUAUCAAACAGGAUUAGAUACCCCUGUAGUC